CCUUCGAUAGCUCAGUUGAUAGAGCAGAGGACUGUAGAUCCUUAGGUCGCUGGUUCGACUCUGGCUCGAAGGA
This 73-nucleotide transfer RNA is filed under the name Danio rerio (zebrafish). Its description in RNAcentral is "tRNA-Tyr (GTA) (tRNA-Tyr-GTA-47-1)". It matches the Rfam family "tRNA". From Rfam's summary of the family: Transfer RNA (tRNA) molecules are approximately 80 nucleotides in length. The record is from RNAcentral. Lineage: Eukaryota; Metazoa; Chordata; Actinopteri; Cypriniformes; Danionidae.